AACGUAGGAGACAAACGUUAUCCGGAGUUACUGGGCGUAAAGGGCGUGUAGGUGGUUUCGUAAGUCUGGCGUGAAAUUUUUCGGCUUAACCGGGAAAGGUCGUCGGAUACUGCGGAGCUAGAGGACGGUAGAGGCGUGUGGAAUUCCGGGUGUAGUGAUGAAAUGCGUAGAGAUCCGGAGGAACACCAGUGGCGAAGGCGACACGCUGGGCCGUACCUGACACUGAUGCGCGACAGCAUGGGGAGCAAACAGG
This 253-nucleotide ribosomal RNA is filed under the name uncultured bacterium. RNAcentral describes it as "partial 16S ribosomal RNA". It matches the Rfam family "Bacterial small subunit ribosomal RNA", at positions 524 to 776 of the family's 1533-position model. The record is from RNAcentral.